UAGUCAAUGUGUCCAGGUGGUGAAAGGGGAAGGCAUUAUCUGCAAAUCAGACAGGGUGCGUUUGGGAGCAGUGGUGACAGUAUGCUGAGCUGCAAGACUGCCAUUGCAAAAAGCUGAGGCACAUGCAGUCUGACCUCAACACAGCUGGCUCUCCCUUAAUGAAGAUAAAGUGCAUUUGGCAUUAUGUGAAUCACAUUUUCAAUGCUGCUAUCUGACCAUGAUGGACACUCUACAAAGCCCUUCCAUCACAGAAGUCUGUUAGCUAUCCAGCCUUUUUUCAGGCACUAACCAAAGAAGUAUCUCAUCGACGUCUGUGUUCCCACGCUAUUCCCAUGAAAAGCUCACUCAGGCUUGCAGACAGAUGCACUGCAGAUCCUGAGAGCACAAAGUAAGCAGAAAUGGCUUAGUGAAAAUAAAAUACCCAACGAACAAACAAAACAACACUGUACCAAUCCUUCUACCAGUGUCUGUUUUUCAUUGGAAAGAAUAGAGGAAUGCAUUAUCCUUGACCACCCAUGUACUUUAGACCUUCCAAACUCAACGUCUGCAUGCUGAACUCGAUGAGGAAGGAAUAGUGUGCGUAUGAAGCAAGUUGCAAAAACUUGUUAUGUCUCUCAAAAGAGAAAUGUAGAAUGAAAGUUCUAUUCUGUAUUCGCCUGUGUUUUGAUUUCAGAAUAAAUGUGGUGAUAGCAGUGGAGGAUACUCAUCACCUUGCAGCUGCUGAAAGAAAAAACCUCUAGUAUUUAGUACCAGAGAGAGUGAGAGAAAGAAAUAAGCCAACCUACAGAUAAAUCAGAUCAAGACUUUUCAGUCUGCCUUUUUAUGCUUAUUUGGCCAUUAUUUUGCCUUCUAGGCUAGUCAAAAUCUCGACCAUUCUAAUUCACUUUUCAUAGGCAAAUGCUGCUCCCUGACACCUGGACUUAGCAUGAUUGAGAAACAGAGGAACAGCCAGAAGUGAGGACCCGACAGGCUAGGGACUAUUUAGAGAAGCUGGAUGUAUUCCAACAUGUGAGGCUAAAUGAAGUCUACCCAAGCUUGCUGAAAGAGAUGGCUGAUGUAAUUGCAGGGCCAACUAACGUCUGUGAAAAAUUGUGACAACUGUGGGGUACACCUAAUGCCUGGAGAAAGAUACCUGUCUUCAAAAGAGGCAAUGAUCUUGAAGCUUGUCAGGUCACUUCAGUUCAGGGAAAGAUCAUGGCGGACACCUUGGAAUCCAUUUCCAAAGACAUGAGUGACAGGAAGGCAAUCAGGAGCGAUCAAUAUCAAUUUACUAAGAGCAAAUCAUCCUUGACCAACCUGACUUGCCUUCCAAGAUGUAAUCACUGCCUACAUGGACAAGAGAACAGUGAAUAUGAUAUACCUUAACUUUAGUAAGAUUUUAUACACUGUGUCCCAAAGAAGUCUCAUUUGGAAGCUGACAAAGUAUGAGCUGGAAGAGCAGACAGUGAGAUAGGUUGAAAACUGGCUGGGCUGACAUAAUUAAAAACUGUCAAACCAUUAAAACUGACAUCUUCAUCUAUGGUAUCUGGUUCAAAACCAGCUUAUCUCUUAGAGAUUUUAGAAUGAGGACAGAACUAAUUUGUUCUGAUGCCUAAUGGCAUCUGGAUGCAUCUUUUAGAUACAGGACAAAAUGGUUGAGACCAUAAUGCCAAACAUUGCUGAACACAGAAGAGCAGCUCCACGCUAAGUCCGAGGAAAAGAUGAAAUUCUGUGAAAACUAGAAUCAGUGGGAUAUCAGGGAGUCCCCAAAAUAACAAAGGAUUGGGAUGCUGACACACAGGGAACUUGUGGAAGCUGAAAUAGCUGCUACAAUGAUUACUGAGCUUGUUUUAUGGAACUACAAAGUAUAAGAAUUUCUUGUGAAGACAUUGAAGAAAAGCAUAAGUUUAAACUUGAAAUCCAAGCAGGAAAAAGAUGUUGGCUUAAAGCAUAACCUCACAGAUACUUCAGAUGCAUGGCAGAUUGUCUUGAUUGUUUCCAUGGACAUCAAGAAAACAUAUAAUGGCAGCAGAAGGAAAUGGUGUUGCCGUAAGAACAAGAAAUUUUCAUGGGUUUCCAAGUGGUCUGAGUAAACUCCAUCUGUGCUUGUGAGAAUGUGAUAGCAUUUACAAGUGUACCUGCUCUACUCAGCACUUGUCAGGCCACACCCGGAGUACUGUGUCCAGUUCUGGUCCCUGCUAUACAAAAAGGAUGUGGACAAGCUGGAAGGGGUCCAGAGAAGGGCCACCAAGAUGAUCAAAGGACUGGGAAGCCUGCCAUACGAGGGUAGGCUGGGAGAACUGGGUUUGUUCAGCCUUGAGAAAAGGACGCUCAGAGGGGAUCUCAUCCCCAUGUACCAGUACUUGAGGGGUAGCUACAAAGAAGACGGAGACUCCCUUUUUACAGCAAGUCACAUGGAGAGGACAAGGGGGAAUGGACACAAGUUGCUCUUGGGGAGAUUCUGACUGGGCACGAGAGGGAAAUUUUUCACAGUGAGGACAGUCACCAUUGGAAUAAUCUCCCCAGGGAAGGGGUUGCCUCGGCCACAUUGGACACCUUUAAGAGUCGUCUGGACAGGGUGCUGGGCCACCUUGUCCAGACUGCGCUUUUCCCAGAAAGGUUGGACUAGAUGAUCCCUGAAGUCCCUUCCAGCCUGGGAUUCUGUGGUUCUGUGAUAGCUUCAAAGCUACAUUUGAACAGGACUAAAUAAUGCAAACUUUCAGCUUAAUAAACACCAUAUAUAUGUAUAUAUAUAAUAUAUAAUAUAUUUUGGCACUGGCUUUACUGAUUGGUACAUGUCUUAUGAAACCUGAAUAUUCCUAACUGACUCACAGCAACCCAGUGCAGUCCUGAAAUACUGGCACUAGACACAACCAUUUAUCUAGGUGUAGAGAAAAACAAAACUUGUUUGUGUAUACAUAGGAACAAGCCUGGCAUAUGAAAAAAACCACUGCAGCAAGUUUCCUGAUUUUUUUUUUCUCCUAUGCUGAAAAUUCCACAAAUAAGUUGUUAGGAAGGUGAGGCUAAGGAAAAUAUGUAGCAAGAGAUUACUUUAGUACUUCAUUAUGAUAAAGUGCACUUGCAGAUAGCCUCUAUUUUCAAGAACUCUGUUCUCUGAUAUGAAACUGUAUAAAAGCUGGUGCAGCUAUGGAUUUCUGGCUGCCAUUGAAAAGCUCAAAGUUCUGAUAGCAGUUAAAUUCUGUUAAGACCAUCGCUAAUACAAAGUACUGAAAAUUAUUACUCGCUGUUAUUCCUAUUUCUUUUGCAAGUUGUUUAACAUACUUAAGUAUUCUAGGAGCUAAAGAAUUUAAUAAUGUAGUUAUCUCUUCUCCUAGGUUUUCUUUUUUUUGGUCUUGCCCUUUAUUUUUUUUAAUAAGACAGCUCAAAAUUGCCAUCUGAGUAUUUUCAGUUUUUAUGUCCCUGGAUCCAAUAUCACAGAAAUUGCCUAGUCUGAUCUCUGUGUCUUAUAGGCAAUUAUAUAUCAUCCAGUUCAAAUAAGUAAACUUCAGGACACUAAAAUGUUCAAGAGAUAUUCAGGCUAUAGGUCAUAAGUAUUCAGCAGUAAAUUAAUUUAGUAAAAUAAAUAAUAGAAAAAGGCAUAUUUUGUUUAGGACAUUAGGAUGAAGGGGAAAAAAAAUUAAUAUUUCUGUCAGCUGUGUCCUCUUGAAGAUUGAUUUAGUACUGAAAGCCCAUGCUAAACAGGAGAGAAGAGUCUCCAUAGCAUCACUGGUCCUCUCUGCUCUAUAUCCUAUCUCCAUUUGUGAUGAAUACUUCAGAGGAAAACAUAGCUGAUCCUUUUUCCUCUGAAUAUCCCUGACCAGCCAGGAAUAAUCAUCCUGUUCUGAUGCCUAGAGGUGAUGAAAUCAAGUGUGAAGUUUUAUUUUAGUUCUUAUUUUGCUGAAAAACUAAAGCAAGAAUGUUGCAGGCAGACUGAUUCAGGACAAAUGUUGAUCUUCCCAUAAUCUAGGAAAAGAAUGAUUGUGCAUGGGAACUAUUGGAACAAGAGAGACCUCAUCAACCAUGAUACACCUUUCCAAAGACAAGCAGGAAGGAUGGAUCCAACCGUGUUACAUAGGCAUUAACCUAAUUUGUUUUAAAGACUUCAAAUAGUUCCAAUCUACGACUUUUCUAAUAAGCUGUAUCAACAGUUGACUACCCUUUUGCUAUGAAAGUGAAUGUUAUUGCAAGGUUGAACUUUAAUUGCAUUCUGUAGCAAAUGAAUCUUCUCACACGUUUGCUGGCAAGACUUAAAAGCCGUCCACUCUUGGAUAUCUUUUCCACAUUCCUACAUACAGUUAUCAAACCACUCAUUAUCCUUUGGGCUGAUUCCUCAGUGCUUGCCAGGAACUGAAGAUAUGAAAUGCUAUAAAAGUAUUCACUUCUCCUGGAGUGACAAAAUUAACCCCAAUUCCAUGUGUGAGUAUUUAUUUGAAUUACCUGUGGAUAAAUGGACUUUCCGAGGAGUAAUCACUGAGCAUGAUCUCAUGUAAAACCCUGAAUUCUGUUACAGCUCUACCACAGGAAUUUUGGUGAUUAAACUUAAGGGAAAUCCAUGGGAAGCCUUCCUCGACUUCGGCAAGCAUUGAGUUGUGUCCUGGAUCACUAAACACUAUCUUUUUCCCUGAUCUUUUCUGACCUCGAAUGCUAGGGCAAUUGAUGUUGCUUUGAUCAAUUCGAUCUCACCUUCAUUAGAUGCUUUACUCAGCCAGUCAGUUUUACAAACUGCUACUGAAAUAGAAUUUGAGAGACUUGAUACCUGGGAACCAAUGGAAUGUACCCCUUUAAAAAUAAGGGCUAUGUCAUGUCCAUGUCAUAUUGUACCUUAUGGGUGAAGGAGGUGGAACUGUUGAGCUGCCUCAUGCUCGGAAAGUCUUCUGUCACAUAGCUCUAAAUUCCAACAAUAAGACAAAGCCCAUGUCCUGAUGCCAGCUAUAGUAGUCAGAAAACAACUAUCCUCCACUCCUUCCUGAAUAAUAAGAGUAGAUCAGAAGGGAUAAGGAUUUUGAUUUAUCCUGCAGUGUUUAGUUAGAGGAGUCAUGUAAAAAAGAAUCCUGACCCUCUGUUUAAAAUGUCUUCUAACAUGAUACAGCCUAUGAUAACCAAAUCAUUUGUUAUUCAACUCGCUACUGUAAUGCUUAAAAAUAGUUUUCUUAAAGUAACUUAAGAACUUAUUACAUGUAAUUUCUUAAUCUGUUAGACAGACUUUGUGAUGAAUAAGUUACUUACUACUUAUAAAUAAAAUUACCCAAAUCUUUAAAAAUUACUUUAUUCCAGAAUAAAAUAGGCAGUACAGCAGGAACAUGAGAAUGAAAUGCUCUGUUAGUCUCUCUCAUUUGGAUUAAUUCAUCCUGCAAGUGAAGAACACAGCUUUUUAACACAGUGGGGUCAGUACAGUUUUAAUGAACAGCUGACUGGUCCAAGACUCGCAAAAUCACAGACGGACCUGGUAUAAUUUUCCUCAUACACUGCCUUUUAAUGGAAGGACAACUGCACUGUUUGGGAAAAUACUUGCUCAGCUGGGUGAGAGUCAGUUCCAGAGUAUCCACAGUCUGACAUUCAGAGCAGUUCUGUUUGAUGCAGUAGCAGAAACAGAAAUGUUUCAUAAACACCAGAGUUCCCACUGCUGAACUCUACAGAUGCCUGCAGUGAUGCUUACAACGAAGGCAAUUUCAUACAUGCACAUACGCAGCCCAUGAGGCAAAAACAUAGUAACAGCAUAAUUACUGGUUUGAGCAGCUGAGCUACUAGAACUUCAGUGAAAACAAUAAGGAGAGAUUUAAUAGCUCGUACUGCUUCUGUGGGAACUUCGGAUGACCACACAGAAAUCAACGAAAAUUAGGAAAGAAUUUCCCAUGCCUUUUAUGGAAUAAGUUGCAUACUCCACAUGGAUGCACACAGGAUGGUGAUUUACUGGUUGGAAGAACUGAGUCCAUUUCUCAUUUUGGAAGGUGAUACUGAUGGUGGUUUUUGGGUAGAAUUGGCUAACAAUGCUGUCAGACCAGAAGACAGCAGGGAAUGCAAAAACAUGCCAGGUUUUUUCCAGUAAAUCUUAAAGAUGAUCUGCUAGUAGAUGACAAUGAUGUGUGGUUUUUGAAGGAGAUAUAAGUAUAAUUCAUUCACACAGAUUAAUGAUAAAAAGCCACUCUUUAAGAGCUAGAAGAGAGAAAAAUCUUUAAAAAGAAAAAUCAAACUAGACAAAAAUACAUGCAGGUUUUUUUUUUUUUAAAUUAUUCAGUCCAUUUUGUAUCCAUAAAAAUAGUCUUGUAUUUAAACUUUCUACUUAAGUCUUCAUUUACAUUUUCCUACCAUAGUUAUGUAUUGCUUGUAUUUCUAGAAUGACACUUUUACUAUGCAAUUUCCAUAUUUCAAAAUACAAAUUAAUAAUUGUAUUUGCUGUCUGAAUUUGUUUUCAUCUUCAUUUUUAGCGAUAGUCAAGACCCACCAAUUUCAGAUGGAAAUUAUCAGUCAUCAUAU
Non-coding RNA from Phalacrocorax carbo (great cormorant), 6453 nucleotides. The record is from RefSeq and is a predicted model, not a curated record. NCBI's taxonomy places the organism in Eukaryota, Metazoa, Chordata, Aves, Suliformes, Phalacrocoracidae.